Vidua chalybeata is the source of this 1386-nucleotide long non-coding RNA. RefSeq lists it as uncharacterized. NCBI's taxonomy places the organism in Eukaryota, Metazoa, Chordata, Aves, Passeriformes, Viduidae. The record is from RefSeq and is a predicted model, not a curated record. The transcript has 9 exons.
UUCUCUGUCAUACAUCUGCUGUCUGUCUCCUACAUAUGGAGGGGACAGGGACCUUUGUUUUGGUGGUAGAGGAUCCUCAGGCGAGCUGUCUGCACUGAUCUGAACAGAUGACUUGGUGUGCCAGAGAUGAAGGCUUCCCCGGGCAGGAGACAUUGCCCUGUAAUAGCACAAACGAUGAGAACAAUGGCUGUGCAACUCUGGGAGACCAAAACAUGGAGCAAUCAGUAAUUCCUUUCCUGGGAUUGCUGUGUUUAAGGAAGCUCACUGAAGAGAUGGCAGCUGGGUAUUUGGAUGUUCCCAAGGCAAAAAGCUACAAUGGACUAACCCAGGAGACCCAUUGGCAUUGCAGUGCCUCGUGGCCCAGCUGUCUCCUGGAUCUGUGUAGUGACCCGGCAUGGCCACAGUGGACCUGCCAGGUGACAACCAUGAGGCACAGCAGGAGGUGAAGGCUAAGAAAGGGAAGCUGCCAGAGGAAUGUCAGAAGAAAAUCGUCCAGAGAAGCAAUAAGAACCAGAUGACUCCACUGCCACAUGGACUGCAAACAUGGAAGAAAUGUCAUGACUGGGCCAGCAGGUUUGUCACUGGCCAUGGCACAGAAACCACCUUUACCUGCCAGCCUCAGAGAGCUCGUGCUUGAGGGAACUACCAUCUCCAAAUCAUACCAACCUCCAUCCUCUUAAUUCCCCCAACUCCUCGUCCACCGUAGUAGGAAGCAUCCACCGUGGGCCACUUCUUGGAAGGCAAGGGCUCCUGUUCUUCUUCCUGAAGGCUCAUCAUAUGAAACAAAGUGGAGGAAUCCCAGAUUGUGAGGGUGCAGAUGGAGGCUAAGAUUUCCUGCCCUUGGACAGCCAGGGGCCCAAUGGAGCCCCGGAUCACAAGGGCUGCAGCACGGUCAGAUACUGAUCUAUGAGCAAAGAAAUCCUGUUGGGAGCAAUGCAUGGUGAUGGGCAAAAGAGAUUCUCUCCAUGCUUCAGACCCAAUGGAAAAGCUGCUCGCCAGUCACACUUGAGGCUGUCUCCCCGGACGAACAAGAGCUAAGAGAGCCUACACUCCUCACUCAGGCCCCAGAGUUACAGAGCAUUAACACCUCUGCAGACCUGUAACCUCUCUCCACACACAGGCUGAAGGGCCAAGCUUGUGCCCAUCUGCUCCCUCAGGGAAGAGCCAUGCCGGAAUGGGACCCAGCUGACUGUCAUGCCUGGCCCUCAGGACAUGUUAUCUACAGUGAGCAGGUGUCUGAGGGCAGGGAGGUCUCCUAGUACUUGCAAAGACACAGCUUUGCACAGCAAAGUGGAAGCAGAGGUUCUGUGCUCCGAGGUCUUGCAAUGGCAAAGUCUAAAGAGAAAUGGGGUGUGGGGAUUUCACAAGGAGUUACAGAAGUUAUUC